Molecule: ribosomal RNA, 429 nt
Filed under: Verrucomicrobiota bacterium
Lineage: Bacteria; Pseudomonadati; Verrucomicrobiota
Description: Verrucomicrobia bacterium partial 16S ribosomal RNA
Rfam family: Bacterial small subunit ribosomal RNA
Source: RNAcentral
UAGGGAAUCUUCCGCAAUGGACGAAAGUCUGACGGAGCAACGCCGCGUGAGUGAAGAAGGAUUUCGGUUCGUAAAACUCUGUUGUUAGGGAAGAAAAAAUGUAUAGUAACUAUAUACAAAAGAGACGGUACCUAACCAGAAAGCCACGGCUAACUACGUGCCAGCAGCCGCGGUAAUACGUAGGUGGCAAGCGUUGUCCGGAAUUAUUGGGCGUAAAGCGCGCGCAGGUGGUUUAGAAAGUCUGAUGUGAAAGCCCACGGCUCAACCGUGGAGGGUCAUUGGAAACUAAUAAACUUGAGUGCAGGAGAGAAAAGUGGAAUUCCUAGUGUAGCGGUGAAAUGCGUAGAGAUUAGGAGGAACACCGGUGGCGUAAGCGGCUUUUUGGCCUGCAACUGACACUGAGGCGCGAAAGCGUGGGGAGCAAACAGG